RNAcentral lists this ribosomal RNA (384 nucleotides) under Triticum aestivum (bread wheat). RNAcentral's name for it is "partial small subunit ribosomal RNA". The record is from RNAcentral. Lineage: Eukaryota; Viridiplantae; Streptophyta; Magnoliopsida; Poales; Poaceae.
AUGCGCGCAUGGAGCAGAGUACUCACCUUCUGGCCCCAGCACUGGCAAGGCCCAAGCUCACCACCAAGGCCGACGAGCUCCCCGAAGCUGUCGUCGUCCAGGAUGCGGGUGCCGCCAUGGCCGGCUUCGUGGGCAUCCUCCGCCAGCUCGGGGACCUCGCACAGUACGUUGCUCCUGUCCUGUCCUGCUGGCUGCUACAAAUUCACCAGACUAGCCCCUGGAUCUGAUCUUCUUCAGGCUCGCCGCGGAGGGCGCGGCGGCUCCAGGCGGAGCCGCCGCUCAUCGAGGAGCGGCUCCGCCGUCGUCGAUUCCGACAGGCUUGUGUACUUCAUCGGCCAGAAGCUCUGUGUGGCAUCGCAGGCCACGGUGUCGAUCAGCCGGUGA